This 520-nucleotide ribosomal RNA is filed under the name uncultured Glomeromycotina. RNAcentral describes it as "SSU rRNA". It matches the Rfam family "Eukaryotic small subunit ribosomal RNA", at positions 569 to 1091 of the family's 1831-position model. Lineage: Eukaryota; Fungi; Glomeromycota. The record is from RNAcentral.
CGCAGCCGCGGUAAUUCCAGCUCCAAUAGCGUAUAUUAAAGUUGUUGCAGUUAAAAAGCUCGUAGUUGAAUUUCGGGAUCAGUACGCUGGUCGUGCCUUCGGUAUGUACUGGUGUUACUGGUUUCUACCUUCUGACGAACCGUUAUGUCAUUCAUUUGGUGUGGCGGGAAAUCAGGACUGUUACUUUGAAAAAAUUAGAGUGUUUAAAGCAGGCUCGCGCUUGAAUACAUUAGCAUGGAAUAAUGAAAUAGGACGUUUGAUCCUAUUUUGUUGGUUUCUAGGAUCGACGUAAUGAUUAAUAGGGAUAGUUGGGGGCAUUAGUAUUCAAUUGUCAGAGGUGAAAUUCUUGGAUUUAUUGAAGACUAACUACUGCGAAAGCAUUUGCCAAGGAUGUUUUCAUUAAUCAAGAACGAAAGUUAGGGGAUCGAAGACGAUCAGAUACCGUCGUAGUCUUAACCAUAAACUAUGCCGACUAGGGAUCGGAUGAUGUUAAUUUUUAAUGACUCAUUCGGCGCCUUAC